UCCAAUCUGUUUCUGGCCGAUGGGCCCAAAUUUACCGACUAUGUAACCUUUUCCGUUGUCCCUCAAAAACACUGCCAAUCCUCCGGUGCAUAUUUACGGCUCGUUUUUCUCUGCUCCAACCCCAAGGUUUGUUUCUGCGGAGGACGAAAAGUAAAAAGGAUCGUCGCCUUCGCGUGGCCGUGAUUCCCCAAUCCCGACUUUAAACUG
RNAcentral lists this unclassified non-coding RNA (207 nucleotides) under Hevea brasiliensis (rubber tree). Lineage: Eukaryota; Viridiplantae; Streptophyta; Magnoliopsida; Malpighiales; Euphorbiaceae. The record is from RNAcentral.